RNAcentral lists this ribosomal RNA (515 nucleotides) under uncultured archaeon. Its description in RNAcentral is "bacterial SSU rRNA". It matches the Rfam family "Archaeal small subunit ribosomal RNA", at positions 345 to 859 of the family's 1478-position model. The record is from RNAcentral.
AACCUUUACACUGCACGACAGUGCGAUAGGGGGACACCGAGUGCGAGGGCAUAGAGCCCUCGCUUUUGUAGACCGUAAGGAGGUCUACGAAUAAGGGCUGGGCAAGACCGGUGCCAGCCGCCGCGGUAACACCGGCAGCCCGAGUGAUGGCCGAUAUUAUUGGGCCUAAAGCGUCCGUAGCUGGCCGCACAAGUCCGUCGGGAAAUCCACUCGCUUAACGAGUGGGCGUCCGGCGGAAACUGUGCGGCUUGGGACCGGAAGAUCCGAGGGGUACGUCCGGGGUAGGAGUGAAAUCCCGUAAUCCUGGACGGACCACCGAUGGCGAAAGCACCUCGGAAGGACGGAUCCGACAGUGAGGGACGAAAGCUAGGGUCUCGAACCGGAUUAGAUACCCGGGUAGUCCUAGCCGUAAACGAUGCUCGCUAGGUGUGGCGCAGGCUACGAGCCUGCGCUGUGCCGUAGGGAAGCCGUGAAGCGAGCCGCCUGGGAAGUACGUCUGCAAGGAUGAAACUUAA